UACGUAGGGGGCAAGCGUUGUCCGGAAUCAUUGGGCGUAAAGCGCGCGUAGGCGGCCCGGUAAGUCCGUUGUGAAAGUCAAAGGCUCAACCUUUGAAUGCCGACGGAUACUGCCGGGCUAGAGUACGGAAGAGGCGAGUGGAAUUCCUGGUGUAGCGGUGGAAUGCGCAGAUAUCAGGAGGAACACCUAUAGCGAAGGCAGCUCGCUGGGACGUUACUGACGCUGAGACGCGAAAGCGUGGGGAGCAAACAGG
Molecule: ribosomal RNA, 253 nt
Filed under: uncultured bacterium
Lineage: Bacteria
Description: partial 16S ribosomal RNA
Rfam family: Bacterial small subunit ribosomal RNA
Source: RNAcentral